GAUCUCCGAGUCCUUGUCUCUAAGGUGGAAACUACGGGACAUGGACCAGGAAGAUUCCCGCAUGAUUCCGAUCCGGGAUCUGUCAGGGAUACUUCCUCAGGGUAUUGCCGGAAACAGCAAUGCCUCCCUACCCUUGGAAAGGAGAGUU
RNAcentral lists this non-coding RNA (148 nucleotides) under uncultured Anaerobutyricum sp. RNAcentral's name for it is "Moco (molybdenum cofactor) riboswitch". It matches the Rfam family "Molybdenum/Tungsten riboswitch aptamer (Moco RNA motif)", at positions 12 to 120 of the family's 135-position model. Lineage: Bacteria; Bacillati; Bacillota; Clostridia; Lachnospirales; Lachnospiraceae. The record is from RNAcentral.